CGGCGGAUGGGUGAGUAACACGUGGGUAACCUACCUACAAGCUUGGGAUAACUCGUGGAAACGCGAACUAAUACCAAAUGCGAUCUUUUACCUCCUGGUAAAAGAUUAAAAGACGGUUUCGGCUGUCACUUGUAGACGGGCCCGUGGCGCAUUAGCUAGUUGGUGAGAUAAAAGCUUACCAAGGCAACGAUGCGUAGCCGACCUGAGAGGGUGAUCGGCCACACUGGGACUGAGACACGGCCCAGACUCCUACGGGAGGCAGCAGUAGGGAAUCUUCCGCAAUGGACGAAAGUCUGACGGAGCGACGCCGCGUGAAUGAUGAAGAUCUUCGGAUCGUAAAAUUCUGUUGUUAGGGAUGAACAAGUGUGAGCGUAACUACUCACACCUUGACAGUACUUAACCAGAAAGCCCCGGCUAACUACGUGCCAGCAGCCGCGGUAAUACGUAGGGGGCGAGCGUUGUCCGGAACUAUUGGGCGUA
Molecule: ribosomal RNA, 480 nt
Filed under: uncultured bacterium
Lineage: Bacteria
Description: bacterial SSU rRNA
Rfam family: Bacterial small subunit ribosomal RNA
Source: RNAcentral